This 139-nucleotide ribosomal RNA is filed under the name uncultured bacterium. RNAcentral describes it as "partial 16S ribosomal RNA". It matches the Rfam family "Bacterial small subunit ribosomal RNA", at positions 355 to 509 of the family's 1533-position model. The record is from RNAcentral.
UGGGGGAUAUUGCACAAUGGGGGGGAACCCGUGAUGCAGCGACGCCGCGUGAGCGAUGAAGUAUUUCGGUAUGUAAAGCUCUAUCAGCAGGGAAGAAAAUGACGGUACCUGACUAAGAAGCCCCGGCUAACUACGUGCC